GCCAGAAACUAUACUUUAUUUAAAAUUAAGCACAAUAUCAUAAAACUUCACUUUAAAACCUAAUAUUUGUAAUGUCAGCAUGAUUCUGUGGGUGGCACCAGGCAGCAGUGCCCAGCACUUGAAAAUUUUCAAAUAUGCCAUGCAAAAACACAAAUAUUAUAUUUGGUUAUUUUCUGUAAUUUUGUACUGUCUUUUUAUCUUUCAAUUGAUGAAUUCUGUUAUUUAAGUGGCAAUGUGCCCAGACUGAGAUGCACCUACAGUACUUUGUUAUUUUACUCUGUCUAAUGCCAGAC
Non-coding RNA from Paramuricea clavata, 293 nucleotides. NCBI's taxonomy places the organism in Eukaryota, Metazoa, Cnidaria, Anthozoa, Malacalcyonacea, Plexauridae. The record is from the annotation of a GenBank genome assembly.